Molecule: ribosomal RNA, 514 nt
Filed under: uncultured bacterium
Lineage: Bacteria
Description: partial 16S ribosomal RNA
Rfam family: Bacterial small subunit ribosomal RNA
Source: RNAcentral
GAUGAACGCUGGCGGCGUGCCUGAUACAUGCAAGUCGAGCGAACAGAUGAGAAGCUUGCUUCUCUGAUGUUAGCGGCGGACGGGUGAGUAACACGUGGGUAACCUACCUAUAAGACUGGGAUAACUCCGGGAAACCGGGGCUAAUACCGGAUAAUAUUUUGAACCGCAUGGUUCAAUAGUGAAAGACGGUUUCGGCUGUCACUUAUAGAUGGACCCGCGCCGUAUAAGCUAGUUGGUAAGGUAGCGGCUUACCAAGGCGACGAUACGGAGCCGACCUGAGAGGGUGAUCGGCCACACUGGAACUGAGACACGGUCCAGACUCCUACGGGAGGCAGCAGUAGGGAAUCUUCCGCAAUGGGCGAAAGCCUGACGGAGCAACGCCGCGUGAGUGAUGAAGGUCUUCGGAUCGUAAAACUCUGUUGUUAGGGAAGAACAAAUUUGUUAGUAACUGAACAAGUCUUGACGGUACCUAACCAGAAAGCCACGGCUAACUACGUGCCAGCAGCCGCCGUAA